GAUGAACGCUAGCGGCAGGCCUAACGCAUGCAAGUCAGGGGUAACAUAGGAAAGCUUGCUUUUCUGAUGACGACCGGCGCACGGGUGCGUAACGCGUAUACAACCUACCUUUUAGCGGGGAAUAGCCCAGGGAAACUUGGAUUGAUGCCCCAUAGUAUAUAGACUUCUCCUGAAGUUUAUAUUAAACAUUUAUGGCUAUUAGAUGGGUAUGCGUCCUAUUAGUUAGUUGGUAAGGUAACGGCUUACCAAGGCAGCGAUAGGUAGGGGUCCUGAGAGGGAGAUCCCCACACUGGUACUGAGACACGGACCAGACUCCUACGGGAGGCAGCAGUGAGGAAUAUUGGACAAUGGGCGAGAGCCUGAUCCAGCCAUGCCGCGUGCAGGAAGACUGCCCUAUGGGUUGUAAACUGCUUUUACAGAGGAAGAACCACCCCCACGUGUGGGGGUUUGACGGUACUCUGCGAAUAAGGAUCGGCUAACUCCGUG
RNAcentral lists this ribosomal RNA (486 nucleotides) under uncultured bacterium. Its description in RNAcentral is "bacterial SSU rRNA". It matches the Rfam family "Bacterial small subunit ribosomal RNA", at positions 28 to 507 of the family's 1533-position model. The record is from RNAcentral.